AGUCAAUAGAUACCCGGGUAGUCCACGCCGUAAACGAUGAGUACUAGGUGUAGGAGGUAUCGACUCCUUCUGUGCCGCAGUUAAACACAAUAAGUACUCCGCCUGGGAAGUACGGUCGCAAGAUUAAAAACUCAAAGGAAUUGACGGGGGCCCGCACAAGCAGCGGAGCAUGUGGUUUAAUUCGAGGCAACGCGAAGAACCUUACCUAGACUUGACAUCUCCUGAAUAGCGCAGAGAUGCGUGAAGCCCUUCGGGGCAGGAAGACAGGUGGUGCAUGGUUGUCGUCAGCUCGUGUCGUGAGAUGUUGGGUUAAGUCCCGCAACGAGCGCAACCCCUAUUAUUAGUUGCUACCAUUAAGUUGAGCACUCUAAUGAGACUGCCCGGGUUAACCGGGAGGAAGGCGGGGAUGACGUCAAAUCAUCAUGCCCCUUAUGUCUAGGGCUACACACGUGCUACAAUGGUGAGAACAACGAGAUGCAAUACCGCGAGGU
This 491-nucleotide ribosomal RNA is filed under the name uncultured bacterium. RNAcentral describes it as "bacterial SSU rRNA". It matches the Rfam family "Bacterial small subunit ribosomal RNA", at positions 775 to 1263 of the family's 1533-position model. The record is from RNAcentral.